RNAcentral lists this ribosomal RNA (606 nucleotides) under uncultured bacterium. Its description in RNAcentral is "bacterial SSU rRNA". The stretch from base 1 to 517 matches the Rfam family "Bacterial small subunit ribosomal RNA", at positions 338 to 873 of the family's 1533-position model. The record is from RNAcentral.
CCUACGGGAGGCAGCAGUAGGGAAUCUUGCGCAAUGGGCGAAAGCCUGACGCAGCCAUGCCGCGUGAAUGAUGAAGGUCUUAGGAUUGUAAAAUUCUUUCACCGGGGACGAUAAUGACGGUACCCGGAGAAGAAGCCCCGGCUAACUUCGUGCCAGCAGCCGCGGUAAUACGAAGGGGGCUAGCGUUGCUCGGAAUUACUGGGCGUAAAGGGAGCGUAGGCGGAUAGUUUAGUCAGAGGUGAAAGCCCAGGGCUCAACCUUGGAACUGCCUUUGAUACUGGCUAUCUUGAGUAUGGGAGAGGUGAGUGGAACUCCGAGUGUAGAGGUGAAAUUCGUAGAUAUUCGGAAGAACACCAGUGGCGAAGGCGACUCACUGGCCCAUUACUGACGCUGAGGCUCGAAAGCGUGGGGAGCAAACAGGAUUAGAUACCCUGGUAGUCCACGCCGUAAACGAUGAGUGCUAGUUGUCGGCAUGCAUGCAUGUCGGUGACGCNGCUACGACAUAGACGACUCCGCCGUGGGAGGUACGGUCGCGAGUAAGUUAAACUACGUUAAAGAAGUAGUUACGGCGUGAGACGNGCCGACGGACGACGACGAGGGAGGAGG